RNAcentral lists this ribosomal RNA (216 nucleotides) under uncultured bacterium. RNAcentral's name for it is "partial 16S ribosomal RNA". It matches the Rfam family "Bacterial small subunit ribosomal RNA", at positions 272 to 504 of the family's 1533-position model. The record is from RNAcentral.
GGCAACGAUCAGUAGCCGGCUUGAGAGAGUUGGACGGCCACAUUGGGACUGAGACACGGCCCAAACUCCUACGGGAGGCAGCAGUGGGGAAUAUUGCACAAUGGGGGAAACCCUGAUGCAGCGACGCCGCGUGAGCGAUGAAGUAUUUCGGUAUGUAAAGCUCUAUCAGCAGGGAAGAAAUUGACGGUACCUGACUAAGAAGCACCGGCUAAAUAC